AAGGUCGCUGGACCUUUCCGGUCACCGCCGCGAGUCACGUGGGGGGGCCUGGUCUUGCUAACACGCAGCGGGCUGGGACGCGGUUUGAUCUGGGCUCCACUUUGAUUUUGUUCUAGUGCUGGAGAACCCAGGGCCCAGUGCACACUCUCUGUCUACCACUGAGCCACGUCUCCAGUCCAGGGCUCAAGGUGGGUUUCUCUCCAGUUUCCUCACCUCUGCCCUCCCCAGCCAUCCGCUCUGGGCUCGCGCUGGCUCCCCUCGCAACGGCCACGGCCCCGAACAGCACCUUUCCCCCGCUGCUCAGAGCAACCCGAGGCCCUGAGCACCCGGCAGAGCUGCGGUCAGGAGAACUGUGUUCUCAUUGGCUAAAGCCUGGCUUGCCUGGCGAACCACGCUGCAAGGGCGGCAGCACGGAUGCGAUUGGCUUCUCAGGCUGGGGCUUCUGAGCUAAGGUGGGCGGUGGCGGGCGUGGAGCCCCAGCAGGCAGGUGCUUACUUUCGGGGAGCAUCAAACGCGAGGCUGUGAAUCCUGGCUCCGCCUCGUCCUGGCUGGGCCAGGUUUUCCCGGUCUGUGCGGUGGGGCUCUCAUCCCAGGGGCAGUGAGACAGCCUUUGUCACGCCCCCACUUUCUGCUCGGGAGCUGAGACCACAGAGGCCUGGGUGCCCUCAGCGGGGAGGGGAGCGUGUUACGCGCGGAGCUCCACGGUGCGCCAGGCGGUGCUGGGUCUGUGGGUAGCCCCAGGGGGUGGGCAGAUCCCUGAGCCCUGGUUACCGCCUGCUGCGUGUUGGAGGAAGUGCCCACGCGGGCGGAACCAUCCUGGGGUGCCCAGGAGGCCCCGAGUUCUCCGGACAGCAGGAGGAACAAGCACGCCAUGCGGUGGACCGCGAGAAGACAGGGCGGCGGACCUCUGCGCGAGCCGGCGACAGUGCCAGUCAGCAGCCCUUGGGGUCGAGAACCUGCCGAGGCUGGGGCUGGGGAGAUGUGGGGGGUCCACCCCACGGCCUGACCCCGCACAGCAAAAGAAAGCCCUGUAGCUGUGGAGUUUCCUCUUCCACCCUCUGCCUGGUUUUUAUAACCAGCUCCUGUCGGGUGCACGGCUGCAUCCAGCUGUCCUUAGGUGGGCUGUGGUCCUCCAUGUGGGGUGGGAGGAGGCUCGCCUAGUGGAAGUGGGUGCUAUGAAGGAAUUCUGAGACCCGGGCCUCCCUGGCUCCUGCUGGGCCACGUGACCUCUCCCUGACACUCCUGCUAUGAUGUGACACGAGGACCGCGCCGGAGCUGAGCAUUUGCCAGUGCCCCACCCUUGCACCUCCAGAACCGUGAGCUAAGUUGAAAUUUUCUUUAUAAAAUGAGCCUGCCUCAGGUAUUGCACUGUGGUCACGACAGACUAAUACCAACAGCCUUUUGGCUCUUCACUGCUUGCAGCAAAUGACCCCACACCUUGGUGGGUUAAAACAAACACUUGUCAUCUCACACACGGUGCCUGGGGUAGGCAAGUGGCUUAGCUGGUGCAGCUAUCAGCUGUGAUGUGUCACCUUGAUUGGAUUAGAAAACCCCAGGGUUCGGGGGGAGCACAUCUGGGGUGUGUCUGGGAGGGUCCUGGAGAUGCGACCUUGGGAUGUAUCUGGUCCCUCACCCCUUCCUCUCCGGCAUUGUUUCCAUGCUCUGCUUCACUGCCACCAUGGACUAGGUAGCUUUGUUCCACCACGCCCUUCCCCAUGAUGGUCCUGCCAGGGAGCCAGCUGACCAUGGUCUGAACUUCCAGAAUCCCUGAGCCAAAAUCUUGCCUGUCUUCGUGAGACAAAGGAAUGAGCAGGGCCAGCACUGUCAACAUAAGUCAUGGCAUGGAAGUGGACACAAGGGGCCUCCCGAACCGACAGGACCGCAGCAAGUGAGCCAGUGCAAGACUGCCUGGGGCCAGGGACGUCAGCCUGCAGCUCGGCUUGGGGCCCCUGUGACAUUUAGAGAUUAGGGGAUCAUUUGUCAGUUCCCUGCCUCACACAGCCUCCAAGGAAAUCAAAUAAAUAAUCUUGCUCAUUUUUAGAGA
Molecule: non-coding RNA, 2044 nt
Organism: Heterocephalus glaber (naked mole-rat)
Lineage: Eukaryota; Metazoa; Chordata; Mammalia; Rodentia; Bathyergidae
Source: RefSeq, a predicted model, not a curated record